GUACUGAGGAUCGAACUCAGGACCUUGCGCUCUCAAGGGUUGACACUUUGCAAUUCCAACGAAGGCUGAAGGGUCUCUUCAGAUUCUGCUAAGCUUUCGAAUUUGCCAAGCCAAAAAAGGAAAAAGAAAAGAAAAAGUGUAGGUGGAGCUGUUUGCAGCCGUUCCUGGCCCCUUUCCAGGUGGUAUGGCUGGUGACUGUCCCGGCUGACACCAAGCAGUGAGGACGCGGAAUCUGCAUGGGGAC
Molecule: long non-coding RNA, 244 nt
Organism: Fukomys damarensis (Damara mole-rat)
Lineage: Eukaryota; Metazoa; Chordata; Mammalia; Rodentia; Bathyergidae
Exons: 3
Source: RefSeq, a predicted model, not a curated record